UAACAAAAAAUUAUUUUAUAAUUAAGUUAUAUUAUUAAAUAAUAAAAGUAAUUUUAAUUAAAAAUGUUAUUGUAUUUUUUAAAAAUUAAAUAAUUGAUAUAAUAGUGAAUAGUAUAGUGAUAGAAAUUUGAAAUAAAAUUAAUUAAUUAAAAAGUAAUUAUAAUUUAAUGUACCUUUUGUAUCAGGGUUUAUUAAAUAAUUCAUAUAAAUUUAUGUUUCUCGAAUUUAAGAGAGUUAAAAUAAUAUGAAGGUUAUUGUUUUAUAAAUAUCUUUAAUAUUAUUUUAGUAAUUAAAAGUUAAUCGUUCUUAAAUAUAUCUAGUUUUUUAAGAAAUAAAUUUAAUUUAUUGUUAAUUUUAUAUUAAUUUAAUUUUGAAAUUUAAUAUAAGUUAAUAAAAAUUUUUAUGGGGAUGAGCUUAUAAAAAUUUAUUAUAAAUUUAUAAUAAAAUAAAAUAUAUAGGAUUAGAAAUUUUCAUUAUUAAAAAAAGUGUUAUAAUUUAUUAAUUUUAAAAAUUAUUUAUUAAAUUUUAAUUUUUUUAUUAAAAUAUUUAUUUAAAUAAUAAAAAUAAAGUAAUAAUGAUAAAAUUAGUAUUAUUUUAAGUAAAAUAUAAAAUUUUAUAAAGAUAAAAUUAAGGAAUUCAGCAAAUUAAUAUUCACCUGUUUAUCAAAAACAUGUCUUUUUGUUAAAAAUAAAAAGUCUAACCUGCCCACUGAUAAAUAUUAAAGGGCCGCGGUAUAUUGACUGUGCAAAGGUAGCAUAAUCAUUUGUCUCUUAAUUGGAGGCUGGAAUGAAUGGUUGAAUGAAAUAUUAACUGUCUCAGUUUUAAAAAAAUAAAAAUUUAAUUUUUAAGUUAAAAAGCUUAAAUAUUUUUAAAGGACGAGAAGACCCUAUAGAUCUUUAUAUUUAUUAAAAUAUUAUAAUAUAGAAAAAUAAUAAAUAAUAUUUUAAUAAGUAUUUUAUUGGGGUGAUAGGAAAAUUUAAUAAACUUUUUUUCAUUGUUAAACAUAGAUUUAUGAAUAAUUGAUCCAUUAUUUAUGAUUAAAAGAUUAAGUUACCUUAGGGAUAACAGCGUAAUUUUUUUAAAGAGUUCAUAUCGAUAAAAAAGAUUACGACCUCGAUGUUGAAUUAAAGUUAUUUUUAGAUGUAGCAGUUUAAAAUAUAGGUCUGUUCGACCUUUAAAUCUUUACAUGAUUUGAGUUCAGACCGGCGUGAGCCAGGUCGGUUUCUAUCCUUAAUAAAUUAAAAUAUUUUAGUACGAAAGGACCAAAUAUUUAAAUUAAAUUUUUAAUAUAGAAUAAUAUU
RNAcentral lists this ribosomal RNA (1301 nucleotides) under Italochrysa insignis. Its description in RNAcentral is "16S ribosomal RNA". The stretch from base 610 to 1301 matches the Rfam family "Archaeal large subunit ribosomal RNA", at positions 1423 to 2838 of the family's 2987-position model. The record is from RNAcentral. Lineage: Eukaryota; Metazoa; Arthropoda; Insecta; Neuroptera; Chrysopidae.